ACAUGCAGUCGAGCGGUAACAGGUCCAGCUUGCUGGCACGCUGACGAGCGGCGGACGGGUGAGUAAUGCAUAGGAAUCUACCCGGUAGUGGGGGAUAACCUGGGGAAACCCAGGCUAAUACCGCAUACGUCCUACGGGAGAAAGGGGGCUUCUGGUUCCCCCUUUCGAAUAACCCAUUUUCGAAUUACUUGUUUGUUAAGUUACCGCCUCACCAAGGCACCAUUCCUUACCUGGCCUAAAAGAUUAAUCACCCCCUUCGGACCUAAACCCCGCCCCAACUUCUUCCGGAAGGCACCAUUGGGAAUUUUUGAACAUUGGCCCCAGCCCUAUUCCACCCUUCCCCCUUUUUUAAAAAAGGUUUUCGGUUUUUAAACCCUUUUCACCAAGAAAAACCCCCGGGCGUUUAUUCCCCCCAAGGAAAAACUUCCUUCCAAAAAAAACCACCGCCUACUUCCUUCCCACCACCCCCGUUAUUCCGAAGGUUCCAACCUUUAUUCGAAUUUCCGGGCCUUAAACCCCCCUUAGUUGGCUUACCAGCCCGUUUUUAAAACCCCCGGCUUCACCUUGGAACCGCCUUCCGAAAUUUUAACCCUAAAUUCCAGAAAAGAAAGGUGAAUUUCCCGUUUUACCGUUAAAUUCCUUAAAAUUCGGAAGAAUUACAAUUGCCAAAGCCGCCUUUCUGAAUUAACAUUACCACUAAGUUCCAAAACCUUGGUUACCAAACAGAAUAAAUUCCCUUGUUAUUCACCCCCUUAACCAAUUUCACCAACCCUUUGGUUGCCUUGUCCCUUUUUGCCGAAUUAACCCAAUAAUUCAACGCCUGGGGAAUACGGCCCCAGGUUAAACUCAAUGAAUUGACGGGGGCCCGCACAACCGUUGAACAUUUGUUUAAUUCAUGCACCCGAAAACCUUACUACCCUUGAAUCCUGCGAACCCGAAAAAAUUCCGGGUGCUUCCGGAACCCAAAACAAGUGCUGCAUGGCUUCGUCACCUCUGUUUGAAAUGUGGGUAAUUCCCUAACAACCCACCCUUUUCCUAUUUCCACCGGUAAUGCCGGAACUUAGGAAACUGCCGUGACAACCGAAGAAGGUGGGACCACUCAAUUUCUUGGCCUUACGGUAGGCUACCCCUGCCCAAUGCCGGUCAAAGGCUCCAACCCCGAAAUAACCAAUCCAAAAACCGUUCU
Molecule: ribosomal RNA, 1186 nt
Filed under: Vreelandella songnenensis
Lineage: Bacteria; Pseudomonadati; Pseudomonadota; Gammaproteobacteria; Oceanospirillales; Halomonadaceae
Description: Halomonas songnenensis partial 16S ribosomal RNA
Rfam family: Bacterial small subunit ribosomal RNA
Source: RNAcentral